GAGGAUGUAGCUCAGUGGUUGAGCAUGUGCUUAGCAUGUUCAAGGCCCUGGGUUCAAUCCCCACCAAUCCCC
Molecule: transfer RNA, 72 nt
Filed under: Heterocephalus glaber (naked mole-rat)
Lineage: Eukaryota; Metazoa; Chordata; Mammalia; Rodentia; Bathyergidae
Rfam family: tRNA
About the family: Transfer RNA (tRNA) molecules are approximately 80 nucleotides in length. Their secondary structure includes four short double-helical elements and three loops (D, anti-codon, and T loops). Further hydrogen bonds mediate the characteristic L-shaped molecular structure. tRNAs have two regions of fundamental functional importance: the anti-codon, which is responsible for specific mRNA codon recognition, and the 3' end, to which the tRNAs corresponding amino acid is attached (by aminoacyl-tRNA synthetases). tRNAs cope with the degeneracy of the genetic code in two manners: having more than one tRNA (with a specific anti-codon) for a particular amino acid; and 'wobble' base-pairing, i.e. permitting non-standard base-pairing at the 3rd anti-codon position.
Source: Rfam by way of RNAcentral